RNAcentral lists this ribosomal RNA (253 nucleotides) under uncultured bacterium. RNAcentral's name for it is "partial 16S ribosomal RNA". It matches the Rfam family "Bacterial small subunit ribosomal RNA", at positions 524 to 776 of the family's 1533-position model. The record is from RNAcentral.
UACGUAGGGUGCGAGCGUUGUCCGGAAUUAUUGGGCGUAAAGAGCUUGUAGGCGGUUUGUCGCGUCUGCUGUGAAAAUCCGGGGCUCAACCCCGGACUUGCAGUGGGUACGGGCAGACUAGAGUGUGGUAGGGGAGACUGGAAUUCCUGGUGUAGCGGUGGAAUGCGCAGAUAUCAGGAGGAACACCGAUGGCGAAGGCAGGUCUCUGGGCACUUACUGACGCUGAGGAGCGAAAGCGUGGGGAGCGAACAGG